Molecule: ribosomal RNA, 253 nt
Filed under: uncultured bacterium
Lineage: Bacteria
Description: partial 16S ribosomal RNA
Rfam family: Bacterial small subunit ribosomal RNA
Source: RNAcentral
UACGGAGGGUGCAAGCGUUAUCCGGAUUUACUGGGCUUAAAGGGUGCGUAGGCGGGUAGGUAAGUCAGUGGUGAAAUCUCCGAGCUUAACUCGGAAACUGCCUUUGAUACUAUUUAUCUUGAAUAUUGUGGAGGUAAGCGGAAUAUGUCAUGUAGCGGUGAAAUGCUUAGAUAUGACAUAGAACACCUAUUGCGAAGGCAGCUUACUACGCAUAUAUUGACGCUGAGGCACGAAAGCGUGGGGAUCAAACAGG